UACGGAGGGUGCAAGCGUUGCUCGGAAUUAUUGGGCGUAAAGGGUAGGUAGGUGGUCUCAUUUGUCUGGGGUGAAAGCCUUGAGCUUAACUCAAGAAGUGCCCCAGAAACGGUGAGACUAGAGUUCUGGAGAGGGUCGUGGAAUUCCCGGUGUAGCGGUGAAAUGCGUAGAGAUCGGGAGGAACACCAGAGGCGAAGGCGGCGACCUGGACAGAUACUGACACUCAACUACGAAAGCGUGGGUAGCAACAGG
RNAcentral lists this ribosomal RNA (252 nucleotides) under uncultured bacterium. RNAcentral's name for it is "partial 16S ribosomal RNA". It matches the Rfam family "Bacterial small subunit ribosomal RNA", at positions 524 to 775 of the family's 1533-position model. The record is from RNAcentral.